AAAUUUUACCAGAGUACUCAAGACUCAUGUAGGGACUUACUAUAAAAUGUUCAAAGCUAUUAGACAUCGAAAAACCGUCAAUCACAGUAGGUCAGUAGGCCUACGAGAUUCACCAAAAUCUCAUCUCAAACUCUUUAAAUGCUCAAGAUUAUAUAAUUAACUGCUGAAAUAGAAAUUUUAUUAAAAAAGAAAGAAAGAAAAAACAGGACCUAAAAAACCAAGUGCACACAGACGCAAACAAGGGGCCGGAUCACAAAGGAGCCGUGAAAAAACAAAACAAAACUGGACGAAUCAAAAAUCUAAGGGAACGUCCUCAUCCAAAGAAUCUUCAUCGUCCAACAUAUCUGCCCAUUUUUCUUUAGGUCGAGCAGUGUCAGUAGGAGAAUGGGUCCCACUAGCCACGGCCGACAUAGCUCGAGCUGCAUCGGAAUGAGGGUGUAACACAAAAUUCUG
Molecule: long non-coding RNA, 453 nt
Filed under: Salvia miltiorrhiza (redroot sage)
Lineage: Eukaryota; Viridiplantae; Streptophyta; Magnoliopsida; Lamiales; Lamiaceae
Description: long non-coding RNA (SMIL_LNC013183)
Source: RNAcentral